RNAcentral lists this signal recognition particle RNA (300 nucleotides) under Sciurus vulgaris (Eurasian red squirrel). RNAcentral describes it as "Metazoan signal recognition particle RNA (ENSSVLG00005009163.1)". It matches the Rfam family "Metazoan signal recognition particle RNA". Rfam says of the family: The signal recognition particle (SRP) is a universally conserved ribonucleoprotein. It is involved in the co-translational targeting of proteins to membranes. The eukaryotic SRP consists of a 300-nucleotide 7S RNA and six proteins: SRPs 72, 68, 54, 19, 14, and 9. Lineage: Eukaryota; Metazoa; Chordata; Mammalia; Rodentia; Sciuridae. The record is from Rfam by way of RNAcentral.
GCCGGGCGCGGUGGCGCGCGCCUGUAGUCCCAGCUACUCGGGAGGCUGAGGCAGGAGGAUCGCUUGAGCCCAGGAGUUCUGGGCUGUAGUGCGCUAUGCCGAUCGGGUGUCCGCACUAAGUUCGGCAUCAAUAUGGUGACCUCCCGGGAGCGGGGAGCCACCAGGUUGCCUAAGGAGGGGUGAACCGGCCCAGGUCGGAAACGGAGCAGGUCAAAACUCCCGUGCUGAUCAGUAGUGGGAUCGCGCCUGUGAAUAGCCACUGCACUCCAGCCUGGGCAACAUAGCGAGACCCCGCCUCUU